CAGAACGAACGCUGGCUCCGUGCCUAAUACAUGCAAGUCGAGCGGGGGCUUUUGGGAGCUUGCUUCUGGGAGCCCUACCGGCGGACGGGUGAGUAACACGUAGGCAACCUGCCCGCAGGACCGGGAUAACGUAGGGAAACUUACGCUAAUACCGGAUAGGGCACCUUCUCGCAUGACAGGGUGCGGAAAGGUGGCGCAAGCUACCACUUGCGGAUGGGCCUGCGGCGCAUUACCUAGUUGGUGGGGUAACGGCCUACCAAGGCGACGAUGCGUAGCCGACCUGAGAGGGUGACCGGCCACACUGGGACUGAGACACGGCCCAGACUCCUACGGGAGGCAGCAGUGGG
Molecule: ribosomal RNA, 347 nt
Filed under: uncultured Caryophanales bacterium
Lineage: Bacteria; Bacillati; Bacillota; Bacilli; Caryophanales
Description: bacterial SSU rRNA
Rfam family: Bacterial small subunit ribosomal RNA
Source: RNAcentral